Molecule: long non-coding RNA, 2130 nt
Filed under: Homo sapiens (human)
Lineage: Eukaryota; Metazoa; Chordata; Mammalia; Primates; Hominidae
Description: HSALNT0106873
Source: RNAcentral
ACUUUGAUUAUAUAGCAGGUUCAGUUCCAGACCACCACAAUGAACUGAGCAUCACACUAAAAUGUAUUCCCACUAGGCAGGAAAUUGGAUUGAGUUUUCUCUAGACAAAUGGUUCUUGAUUGUGGCCUCAGGCCCAGCAACACCAGUAUCACCUGAAACUUAUUACAAAUGCAAAUUUUCAGACUCUGUGCACUGACUGAAAACAUCCAAGUGUGGGGCCUAGCAAUUUUUGUUUUAACAAGACAUCCAAGUGAUUCUGAAGCACUCAGGUGUGAAUAUCAAACUCAAGAUUUGAGAACCACUGCUCUAGAAAAACUGAUUGGCCCAAGAGAUCUGGCGUCAACUACUUCACUCUACCAUGAAGGCUGCCAGCCAGUUACACCCAAGCACAAGCACAUAGCUUCCAAUAUGCUUUCAAAAUACCAGACACCAAGGGAUCACAAGAUUUUCGAGGAGAGCCUUGAAGUCGGAACACUGAAACCCAAACAAACAGGAAAAAGGACAUAGAGAAAAGCAUGACAUUGAAAAGAACAGAAAGAACAUAAAAACUAUAAUUGACAGCUUCAGAAAGUUAAGAAAAGAGAUUGAAUUCAUAAAACCAGAUCAGACGAUUAAAAAAGGAACAAUAAGAAACAAGAAAGAGCUCUUUGGAAAUUGAAAGUAUGAUUGCUGAAUAAAAAAAAAAUCCCUCUAGAAGAGUUAUAUGUGAAGGUCGUCCAAAUUGAAAUGGCCCACUGUGCUGUGUACCCAGCAGAAGAAUGAAAAAAUACCUGCACCAAUUCAGAACCUGAAGUUUCAGAACACUAGACUUUAAGAGAGGUGGGAAAGAGUUACCUAUAAAGCCUGGGGAAUCAAAUUGGCACCUGGUACUAUAGCAGCUAAACUGUGGAACCUGGGAGAUAAUGGAAUGCACUCCAUGUAAACAAGAAGACUCAAGAUUUAAGAAACAAGGCCACCAUCACUGGACAUAGAAAAAGAGGAUCCUCAGAAUCAAAUCUAUAGGAAAUUUCAAGGUAGAAGAUACUGCAACAGACUUAGAGAGUGACUAGAUGACUGGCUCAAGAGACCAGAGGGCUCCAGGAGUGACUGUUCUGGGAGGAAGAAAUGGAUUUAACCAAUUACUUGACAUGGAAACUGAAACUGAAUUUGGGAAGAAUUAGGGUUAUUAACAGAAAAGCAAGACAAUUACUAACUUAAGAAAAUAAGCUGAGUAGGAAAGAAAUGUAAUAAUAGCCCAGAUUUGAAAAAAAUAUUUACAUAGUCAUAUUAAUGUGAGCACUGAACACUGAUUUAAUAAAUGAUGGUAAAACAAUAAUGAGAUGAUGUAGGGAGAGAAACACACAUGGCAGAAGUGGUAAAAGUGGGCUAAAUCUUCGCAGUUCAUUAUAGAAAGUCAAUAGAUGAUGUACAGUUGCUAAAUCAAUCACAAAACAGCAGAAUAAUUGUAUAUGAAUUUACUGAAAAAGCUGAACAUUGGUGUGGGCUCCAUUUAAAGGUAGAACUUAAAUUAGGCAAGUGGGAGGAUAAUGGUUAUGUUAGAAAAAGUUACAUAAUAACUAACAAAGAUCAGGAACUGGGAAACGGAGCUAUAAAAAAGUAUACCAAUUUCAAAAUAUUUUAUGAUAGGGAAGAAAUAGGGUGGCCAGAAAAAGGGAAACAAAUAUUUUUUAAAACUGUACAAUCUCCUAAUGUUUUGCAUAAUCUUAUUCCCUUAUCCAUAGAAAUUCUAGAAAUGGAUAGCCCUCAAAUUUUUUGAACAUUGUAUAAAGUUUAGCAAAGUCUUUUAGCUUCAAAAAUUCUUUUGCUUUUUAAAAAUUUUAAGUAAAUAUCAUAUAAUUAUUUAAAUAAAAUUUAAUAUGCUCUGUAUCAAUCUAUCACCUAUCUUAUAUAUCUAAACCAUUUAUCCAUCUAUCUUUUUGUCUGCAUAUGUACUAAUUGAGCAACAUCUAGAAUGAGCUUCACCUAAUGUUAAUGAUGAUGCUUCUAAGUGAUGAGACUUGGAAUUAUUUUUUACACUUGUCUUUUUACUUUUUGUAUUGAUUAGAAUUGUUUAAUAAUAAUUAUAUUCAUAUUAAAGUAUCUUUAGAGUCUUGAAAUUGAAGACUUAUUUUUGAAUGAAUUUUAUGGCUU